CCUUUCCCUUCUCUUCUUCUCCUCUUCUUCAUCCCUUCUCCUCCCCGACGUCACACACACCCUCUCCUCUGUUUCCUCUGCAGGAAACAUAGGUAUCACAACCUCUUCUCCUGCUUCCUCUUCUUCUUCUCUUCCUCUUCUUCUUCUCCUCUUCGAACGCCCCACACCUCUCCUCUGUUUCCAUCUGCAGGAAACAGAAGUGCUGCAGCCCUAGCUGCUGCCACCUCUCACUCCUCUCCCUCUUCCCUCUCUUUUCCCUCUUCUUCUCCCUCUCUUCUUCUCCUCUUCCCUUUUCCUCCCCAACGCCACACAUCUCAUCGCUGCAGUCUUGCCGCAGCUAUCCUCCUCUCUUCUUCUCUUCUCCCUCUUCUUCCUCUACCUCUCUUCUUCUU
Molecule: long non-coding RNA, 392 nt
Filed under: Musa acuminata (dwarf banana)
Lineage: Eukaryota; Viridiplantae; Streptophyta; Magnoliopsida; Zingiberales; Musaceae
Description: long non-coding RNA (MACU_LNC010719)
Source: RNAcentral